GACGAACGCUGGCGGCGUGCCUAAUACAUGCAAGUUGAGCGAUGAAGAUUGGUGCUUGCACCAAUUUGAAGAGCAGCGAACGGGUGAGUAACGCGUGGGGAAUCUGCCUUUGAGCGGGGGACAACAUUUGGAAACGAAUGCUAAUACCGCAUAACAACUUUAAACAUAAGUUUUAAGUUUGAAAGAUGCAAUUGCAUCACUCAAAGAUGAUCCCGCGUUGUAUUAGCUAGUUGGUGAGGUAAAGGCUCACCAAGGCGAUGAUACAUAGCCGACCUGAGAGGGUGAUCGGCCACAUUGGGACUGAGAAACGGCCCAAACUCCUACGGGAGGUAGCAGUAGGGAAUCUUCGGCAAUGGACGAAAGUCUGGCCGAGCAACGCCGCGUGAGUGAAGAAGGUUUUCGGAUCGUAAAACUCUGUUGGUAGAGAAGAACGUUGGUGAGAGUGGAAAGCUCAUCAAGUGACGGUAACUACCCAGAAAGGGACGGCUAACUACGUG
Molecule: ribosomal RNA, 497 nt
Filed under: uncultured bacterium
Lineage: Bacteria
Description: partial 16S ribosomal RNA
Rfam family: Bacterial small subunit ribosomal RNA
Source: RNAcentral